CGCAGUGACCAGAGUGCAAUUUCACUUCCUAUCAUCUUUUGAUUUAAUGCAUGCUAUGGGCCCUUUAUCAUGAUUAAUGCAUGCCACGUUACUAUUUGGUUUGACCCAACAUUAAGACGUCCCUGACGCAUUAAUUAAACUUGGCAGUAUUGCCGGCUUUCGAGCCUAUUAACUUUACACCCUGUGGCGCUUUAACCUUAUUAACCGAGUCACGUUGGGUCGACCAGUCAUUUAUUAAUUUACUAACCUUGGCACUCAAUUGCACUUUCAAAACACCUACCUCUAAACGGCUUUCAAGCCACUUCUAAAUUUACCCCAGCGGUAAUAAAUUAGAAGGUUAGUCUCGAAAUAUUUAAACUUAAUUUCGCAUAAAUUGCUCAAUAUAUCUUGAUCCUCAUAAUGAUAAAUUGCAUACGAUAUAAUAGCACUUGCUGAUAAAUCUAAUCUUGGUUUGUAACUGUCAAUUUACAGUAUAACCUCCUCCUCCGGUGUAUUCUCGUACGUCGCAUCUCUUUGCCGUGUGCUUCACGCAUCCAGUGCAGCCAGCGCGACAUUAUUUGUGCUGUACGCGUUAUUUCAUUUGAGUUUCCUCAACUGCAUCCACUGCAGUUCCGGUUUUCUACUUCUCUGGAUCCGAAGCUUAUCCUUUGGAGUCUCAAUAAAAUUGUUAGCAGU
Molecule: long non-coding RNA, 675 nt
Organism: Hyalella azteca
Lineage: Eukaryota; Metazoa; Arthropoda; Malacostraca; Amphipoda; Hyalellidae
Exons: 2
Source: RefSeq, a predicted model, not a curated record